AACGAACGCUGGCGGCACGCCUAACACAUGCAAGUCGAACGCGAACGGAACUUCGGUUCUUAUUAGAGUGGCGGACGGGUGAGUAACACGUGGGAACAUGCCUUUCGGUACGGAACAACCAUUGGAAACGAUGGCUAAUACCGUAUACGCCCUUCGGGGGAAAGAUUUAUCGCCGAAAGAUUGGCCCGCGCUAGAUUAGCUAGUUGGUAAGGUAAAAGCUUACCAAGGCGACGAUCUAUAGCUGGUUUGAGAGGAUGAUCAGCCACACUGGGACUGAGACACGGCCCAG
This 289-nucleotide ribosomal RNA is filed under the name uncultured bacterium. RNAcentral describes it as "partial 16S ribosomal RNA". It matches the Rfam family "Bacterial small subunit ribosomal RNA", at positions 29 to 334 of the family's 1533-position model. The record is from RNAcentral.